This 665-nucleotide ribosomal RNA is filed under the name Curtobacterium sp. DJM4H4. RNAcentral's name for it is "bacterial SSU rRNA". It matches the Rfam family "Bacterial small subunit ribosomal RNA", at positions 829 to 1492 of the family's 1533-position model. Lineage: Bacteria; Bacillati; Actinomycetota; Actinomycetes; Micrococcales; Microbacteriaceae. The record is from RNAcentral.
CUUUCCNCGGUUUCUGUGUCGUAGCUAACGCAUUAAGCGCCCCGCCUGGGGAGUACGGCCGCAAGGCUAAAACUCAAAGGAAUUGACGGGGGCCCGCACAAGCGGCGGAGCAUGCGGAUUAAUUCGAUGCAACGCGAAGAACCUUACCAAGGCUUGACAUACACCGGAAACGGCCAGAGAUGGUCGCCCCCUUGUGGUCGGUGUACAGGUGGUGCAUGGUUGUCGUCAGCUCGUGUCGUGAGAUGUUGGGUUAAGUCCCGCAACGAGCGCAACCCUCGUUCUAUGUUGCCAGCGCGUUAUGGCGGGGACUCAUAGGAGACUGCCGGGGUCAACUCGGAGGAAGGUGGGGAUGACGUCAAAUCAUCAUGCCCCUUAUGUCUUGGGCUUCACGCAUGCUACAAUGGCCGGUACAAAGGGCUGCGAUACCGUAAGGUGGAGCGAAUCCCAAAAAGCCGGUCUCAGUUCGGAUUGAGGUCUGCAACUCGACCUCAUGAAGUCGGAGUCGCUAGUAAUCGCAGAUCAGCAACGCUGCGGUGAAUACGUUCCCGGGCCUUGUACACACCGCCCGUCAAGUCAUGAAAGUCGGUAACACCCGAAGCCGGUGGCCUAACCCUUGUGGAAGGAGCCGUCGAAGGUGGGAUCGGUGAUUAGGACUAAGUCGUAAC